Homo sapiens (human) is the source of this 106-nucleotide small nucleolar RNA. Lineage: Eukaryota; Metazoa; Chordata; Mammalia; Primates; Hominidae. The record is from Ensembl.
AUGCACAUCUGCUGCUAUGGUUUCCACUACAGAUGCAAGGAAAAAGUGUCCUCGUCCUUUUGUCUGUCUGAUUGUGGCAGUUGAGAUUGAAUAGAGGUAGACAGAG